This 135-nucleotide small nuclear RNA is filed under the name Oncorhynchus mykiss (rainbow trout). RNAcentral describes it as "U2 spliceosomal RNA (ENSOMYG00000070613.1)". It matches the Rfam family "U2 spliceosomal RNA", at positions 1 to 136 of the family's 192-position model. From Rfam's summary of the family: U2 is a small nuclear RNA (snRNA) component of the spliceosome (involved in pre-mRNA splicing). Complementary binding between U2 snRNA (in an area lying towards the 5' end but 3' to hairpin I) and the branchpoint sequence (BPS) of the intron results the bulging out of an unpaired adenosine, on the BPS, which initiates a nucleophilic attack at the intronic 5' splice site, thus starting the first of two transesterification reactions that mediate splicing. The record is from RNAcentral. Lineage: Eukaryota; Metazoa; Chordata; Actinopteri; Salmoniformes; Salmonidae.
AUCGCUUCUCGGCCUUUUGGCUAAGAUCAAGUGUAGUAUCUGUUCUUAUCAGUUUAAUAUCUGAUACGUCCCCCAUCGGGGGACUACAUAUUAAAUGGAUUUUUCGAACAGGGAGUCGGAAAUGGGGCUUGCUCC